GUUCUGCCGUGAGGAGUUAAGAACAAAUUCACAUUUCAGAGAUUUUUAUAAUCGUUGAGAAUGACAAUUCUUAUCACCAAGCAGAAA
This is a non-coding RNA of Cicer arietinum (chickpea), 87 nucleotides long. The record is from Rfam. NCBI's taxonomy places the organism in Eukaryota, Viridiplantae, Streptophyta, Magnoliopsida, Fabales, Fabaceae.